UUUUUCUUUUCUUUCUUUUCUUUUUUGGUCAAGAAGCAAAAUUGCAGAAAAAUUAAGUGACCGGGUCAAGAUCACGUAUCUAUUGGAACCAAGAUUGCAGUCACAGCCCUGCAAGGACACUCAGAGACUCCAGGGUGGCUACAACUGGAACCCAAGUGGACGAGUGGAUUGGGAUUUGGAAACUGGGACCAAGUAGGAACUGAGCUAAACUAUGGACUGAAUUCCCUUUCUGAAGGGAUCACCAGACUGAAGAAAUACAAAGUGCGGAGGGAGGCUAAGUCCCAUGUGUUGGGGAGUAAUUUGGAUAUUUGUGAUUCUAUGUGUGAAGUAAAUAAAACCUAAUUCAACUGGUUAGGAAGCAAGAAUUUGACAAUUUCAUGAAUCUAUUGUAAAGUAAGGCCCCUCCAGGCCUCAUCCCGAGGACAUCCUCACAGUUUGUGCUUCCUGAGGUUACAUUUUGGAGGCUACAAAGGAAGCAGAGCCAAUAAACCCAACCUUCUUCCUCCA
Molecule: long non-coding RNA, 507 nt
Filed under: Monodelphis domestica (gray short-tailed opossum)
Lineage: Eukaryota; Metazoa; Chordata; Mammalia; Didelphimorphia; Didelphidae
Description: lncRNA (ENSMODG00000032933.2)
Source: RNAcentral